GUGUUGAAACACUGGUUCCCAUAUGAUCACCAAUGUUAAGCAACAGUGAGCCUGGUCAGUACCUAGAUGGGUAACUGCUUGGGAAUACCAGGUGACGUAA
Molecule: ribosomal RNA, 100 nt
Filed under: Acanthosepion pharaonis
Lineage: Eukaryota; Metazoa; Mollusca; Cephalopoda; Sepiida; Sepiidae
Source: RNAcentral